GGGUAUAUAGCUCAGUGGUAGAGUGCAUGCCUAGCAUGCGGAAGGUCCUGGGUUCAAUCCCCAGUAUCUCCA
RNAcentral lists this transfer RNA (72 nucleotides) under Camelus bactrianus (Bactrian camel). It matches the Rfam family "tRNA". From Rfam's summary of the family: Transfer RNA (tRNA) molecules are approximately 80 nucleotides in length. Their secondary structure includes four short double-helical elements and three loops (D, anti-codon, and T loops). The record is from Rfam by way of RNAcentral. RNAcentral also lists the same sequence under 2 other names. Lineage: Eukaryota; Metazoa; Chordata; Mammalia; Artiodactyla; Camelidae.